UGUGCCCUUCCGAUCAGGAUGCUUCAAGCAGUAAAAUGUUUGGUAGCCAAUUGAACUAGAAUGGUACACAAACAACCUCACCCUACUUCAAAUAAAGCUCCAACUGAGACAUAACUCGUAAUGUUAUUGUUUAGUUGAUUGAAUUUAGUUGAUACAAGUCCUCCAAAGCAGUUGUUGUUCAUGUCACACUACAGUUUCUAGGUACAAUAGACAGUAUCUGACCCCAUAACACAGAGUAACCUUGGUGAUACUAUGCACGCAGGGUGUUCCUUUACAAAUGCAUUGUAAAAUGGUAUCCAGCCACACGCUAGGCCAGCAGUGGCAAAAUAAACAGUUUAUCUGAAGUACUUUGUAACAUUGCUCAAUGUCUUUGGGAACUGCCUGACGUAAUGCUUAGAUACCGAAGUUGAAUUAAGUGAAGAUUAAAUGCACCACUACUUGAUUUCGAAACCUCCUGUGCCAUUAACCUUGACUUGCAGUGGUUUUCCUCAUCCUGUUGCCAUAAUAGCAUUGCUUUCCUUGAAGCCAUUUGGUCACUUUUAUCUGACAUCACAGUAGGAUCCUUAUGUUAUGACACUGUGAUGGCUUACUGCAUGAUGACAGUGAGGUAUGAAUUUGCCAGAGGCUGUAGGCUCAGAUCUUCCUGAAUGCAGGUGGUGGUUU
Chelonia mydas (Green sea turtle) is the source of this 663-nucleotide long non-coding RNA. RefSeq lists it as uncharacterized. The record is from RefSeq and is a predicted model, not a curated record. Lineage: Eukaryota; Metazoa; Chordata; Testudines; Cheloniidae. The transcript has 3 exons.